This is a long non-coding RNA of Chinchilla lanigera (long-tailed chinchilla), 1361 nucleotides long. RefSeq lists it as uncharacterized. The transcript is spliced from 3 exons. NCBI's taxonomy places the organism in Eukaryota, Metazoa, Chordata, Mammalia, Rodentia, Chinchillidae. The record is from RefSeq and is a predicted model, not a curated record.
UGCCCCCUUCCCGGGCCCUCCCUCCCCGAUGCCCCCUCCCCGAUGCCCCUUCCCCGGGCUGCGAGCCCGAGCGGCCCAGGUGAGGCUGGACACCGGGCGAGGCGGCCCACGGCGGGGACCGGGCUGCGGUUCUCCUGGGAGCGCCCCUCCGGGCAGCCGGCGGGCGGCUGCACGCGGACCGGUCCCCCGGGACGCACGCGGCGGAGCCCUAAAGUAGCAGAUCAAGUUAACGGUGUAACGUGCGCGGGUUGCAGCGCGGCCCUGAGGCGUGCUGGUGACCGCGCGGAAUGCACCUCCGCGCCCGCUCCGCUGUGCCGUCGGGCUGCCGCGGCCAGAGCACUGACUGGCUUCCUUUCCAACCGAGACGAGCUUCGCAAAGGAAGCGGAUGCGAUCUAGACGAUUGACGGGAAAGUGGAAGACGGGUCUGCCUUUGGUCACCAAAGCAAGGUCGUCCUGGCCCUUGCGCUGAAGAGAGCAGAAAAUCGGGAAGGAGGUUACCUGCGGCUGGGGGUCCGUGCUCCUGUUAACGGUCCGCUCUACCUGAGGCUCGCACAGAGGCGGUGAGAUCGGAUCAGGCCGCUUCGAGCAGCGCUCAUCUCCACGCCAGCGCGCCUCCAGCUACAGUGGUUGAACCCUAAAACUCACCCAGUCACAGUCAAAAAUCUCUCCCGAGAAUCCAGCCCUUCCUCCUACAGAAUUUAGCACAGAGAGGGAGACACAACUGAGAGGAGAAACGUUUCAACCCAAGUCUAAGGCCCAGGUUUCUCAACCCAGUGUGUGAUCUACACAACCGCGUGUGGUCUUCCACGUACACACAAGAGCAUGUCGCAUGCACACAGGCGCACGGCGUCCUGUGGGUGUAUGUGUGGCUGUGUCUGCAUACGGACAACCUACAUGUGUGUGUUUUAUUUCAAAAUGUUGCAGUGUCUCGGGAACACGAGAAGAGGAAGGCUCGUGACUACUUUGAAUAAACAAUUGCUUUGAUAUCCACUUACAGAACUAUUUCCAGAGAUAAGAAAUGCACAGGGCUCUUUUAACCACCAGAGCCUCUCCAUGCGUAAAUUAUUCCCUGAGAGUCACUUAAGCGAUGCAUUUAUACGUUCAAAAGACAAGAGUGUCUCCACAGUAAUAAUUUAUUAAUUUGGUAGGCUGUAUCCCUAAUUUAAUAAACAGCACCUCAAGGCCUGAAAAUUAAUAGAGAUGUUAUGUGAUACCCUCAGUCUGAAACAAGAUAAAUAUUGGGGGCCAGUUGGUAGAAUGUUAUUGAAAAUGUUUCCCUAAUGUAUAUAGGAAUCCCAGUGCCUGUUGUAGGUAAAAUACCUAAUAAAUUAAAACUGCUUGCUGGUGAACUACCUGAAAA